GAUGAACGCUAGCUACAGGCUUAACACAUGCAAGUCGAGGGGUAACGAGAGGAAAGCUUGCUUUCCUUGUUGACGACCGGCGCACGGGUGAGUAACGCGUAUCCAACCUGCCCCCAACUAGGGAAUAACCUUGCGAAAGUAAGACUAAUACCCUAUAAUUUCCUCAGAUGUCAUCUGACGAGGAAUAAAGAUUUAUCGGUUGUGGAUGGGGAUGCGUCUGAUUAGCUUGUUGGCGGGGUAACGGCCCACCAAGGCAACGAUCAGUAGGGGUUCUGAGAGGAAGGUCCACCACAUUGGAACUGAGACACGGUCCAAACUCCUACGGGAGGCAGCAGUGAGGAAUAUUGGUCAAUGGGCGGAAGCCUGAACCAGCCAAGUAGCGUGCAGGAUUACGGCCCUAUGGGUUGUAAACUGCUUUUAUACAGGAAUAAAGUUAGCCACGUGUGGUUAUUUGUAGGUACUGUAUGAAUAAGGACCGGUUAAUUCCGUGCCAGCAGCCGCCGUAA
Molecule: ribosomal RNA, 506 nt
Filed under: uncultured bacterium
Lineage: Bacteria
Description: partial 16S ribosomal RNA
Rfam family: Bacterial small subunit ribosomal RNA
Source: RNAcentral